GCUGGGUUUAGAACGUCGUGAGACAGUUCGGUCCCUAUCCGCUGUGCGCGUAGGAAUAUUGAGAAGGGCUGUCCCUAGUACGAGAGGACCGGGACGGACGAACCUCUGGUGUGCCAGUUGUUCUGCCAAGGGCAUGGCUGGUUGGCUACGUUCGGGAGGGAUAACCGCUGAAAGCAUCUAAGCGGGAAGCCUGCUUCGAGAUGAGUAUUCCCACCUCCUUGAGAGGGUAAGGCUCCCAGUAGACGACUGGGUUGAUAGGCCGGAUAUGGAAGCCCUGUAAGGGGUGGAGUUGACCGGUACUAAUAGGCCGAGGGCUUGUCCUCAGUUG
This 328-nucleotide ribosomal RNA is filed under the name Streptomyces wadayamensis. RNAcentral's name for it is "bacterial LSU rRNA". It matches the Rfam family "Bacterial large subunit ribosomal RNA", at positions 2604 to 2925 of the family's 2925-position model. The record is from RNAcentral. Lineage: Bacteria; Bacillati; Actinomycetota; Actinomycetes; Kitasatosporales; Streptomycetaceae.